AGAUCUGAACUGAAACAAAAAGAGGAAGAAGUGAAAUCCCUCAAACAGAGACUGCAGGAAUCAGCAGAUGUGAGAUCCAGCCCCCAGCGUUGUAACCCACAAGGAUGUGAACACAAAGAAAGUAUGACUCAGAUGGAGAUGUUU
Long non-coding RNA from Xiphophorus maculatus (southern platyfish), 144 nucleotides. RefSeq lists it as uncharacterized. The record is from RefSeq and is a predicted model, not a curated record. The transcript has 3 exons. NCBI's taxonomy places the organism in Eukaryota, Metazoa, Chordata, Actinopteri, Cyprinodontiformes, Poeciliidae.